AAAAACAUGUCUUUUUGAAUAUAAUUUAAAGUCUAACCUGCCCACUGAAAAUUUUUGAAGGGCCGCGGUAUAUUGACUGUGCAAAGGUAGCAUAAUCAUUUGUCUUUUAAUUGAAGGCUAGAAUGAAAGGUUGAAUGAAGUAUUAACUGUCUCAUUUUUAUAAAUUAAAAAUUUAAUUUUUAAGUUAAAAAGCUUAAAUUUUAUUAGAGGACGAGAAGACCCUAUAGAUCUUUAUAAUUUAUAUAUUAAUUAAAUUAGGUAUAAAUUUUAUUUAAUAAAAUAAAUUAUUUUAUUGGGGUGAUAGGAAAAUUUAUUUAACUUUUUUUAUUUAAAAACAUUGAUUUAUGAUUAUUUGAUCCAUUAUUAUUGAUUAAAAGUUUAAGUUACCUUAGGGAUAACAGCGUAAUUUUUUUAGAGAGUUCAUAUUGAUAAAAAAGAUUGCGACCUCGAUGUUGAAUUAAAGGUUAUUUUUAAAUGCAGAAGUUUAAAGUUUAGGUCUGUUCGACCUUUGAAUCUUUACAUGAUCUGAG
RNAcentral lists this ribosomal RNA (530 nucleotides) under Nolima pinal. Its description in RNAcentral is "partial 16S ribosomal RNA". It matches the Rfam family "Bacterial large subunit ribosomal RNA", at positions 1809 to 2609 of the family's 2925-position model. Lineage: Eukaryota; Metazoa; Arthropoda; Insecta; Neuroptera; Mantispidae. The record is from RNAcentral.